UAACAGAAAGUAGCUUGCUACUUUGCUGACGAGCGGCGGACGGGUGAGUAAUGCUUGGGAACAUGCCUUGAGGUGGGGGACAACAGUUGGAAACGACUGCUAAUACCGCAUAAUGUCUACGGACCAAAGGGGGCUUUUAGCUCUCGCCUUUAAAUUGGCCCAAGUGGGAUUAGCUAUUUGGUGAGGUAAUGGCUCACCAAGGCGACGAUCCCUAGCUGGUUUGAGAGGAUGAUCACCCACACUGGAACUGAGACACGGUCCAGACUCCUACGGGAGGCAGCAGUGGGGAAUAUUGCACAAUGGGCGCAAGCCUGAUGCACCCAUGCCGCGUGUGUGAAAAAGGCCUUCGGGUUGUAAAGCACUUUCAGUCAGGAGGAAAGGUUAACAGUUAAUACCCGUUAGCUGUGACGUUACUGACAGAAAAAGCACCGGCUAACUCCGUGCCAGCACCCGCGGUAAUACGGAGGGUGCGAGCGUUAAUCGGAAUUACUGGGCGUAAAGCGUACGCAGGCGGUUUGUUAAGCGAGAUGUGAAACCCCCGGGCUCAACCUGGGAACUGCAUUUCAAACUGGCAAACUAAAGUGUGAUAGAGGGUGGUAAAA
Molecule: ribosomal RNA, 602 nt
Filed under: Pseudoalteromonas sp.
Lineage: Bacteria; Pseudomonadati; Pseudomonadota; Gammaproteobacteria; Alteromonadales; Pseudoalteromonadaceae
Description: bacterial SSU rRNA
Rfam family: Bacterial small subunit ribosomal RNA
Source: RNAcentral